This 459-nucleotide ribosomal RNA is filed under the name uncultured bacterium. Its description in RNAcentral is "partial 16S ribosomal RNA". It matches the Rfam family "Bacterial small subunit ribosomal RNA", at positions 338 to 795 of the family's 1533-position model. The record is from RNAcentral.
CCUACGGGUGGCAGCAGUGAGGAAUAUUGGUCAAUGGCCGGAAGGCUGAACCAGCCAAGCCGCGUGAGGGAGGAAGGCGCAGAGCGUCGCAGACCUCUUUUGCCGGGGGACAAAAGGCCGGACUCGUCCGGUCCUGAGGGUACCCGGAGAAAAAGCAUCGGCUACCUCCGGGCCAGCUCCCGCGGUAAUCAGGGGGAUGCGACCGUUAUCCGGAUUCAUUUGGCUUAAAGGGUGCGCAGGCGGGCCUUUAAGCCGGCGGUGAAAUCGCGGGGCUAAACCCCGCCGCGCCGUCGAAACUGGGGGCCUUGAGUGCGGCGGAGGCAUGCGGAAUGCGCGGUGUAGCGGUGAAAUGCAUAGAUAUCGCGCAGAACCCCGAUUGCGAAGGCAGCGUGCCGUACCGCCACUGACGCUGAGGCACGAAAGCGCGGGGAUCGAACAGGAUUAGAUACCCCUGUAGUC